RNAcentral lists this long non-coding RNA (904 nucleotides) under Numida meleagris (helmeted guineafowl). RNAcentral describes it as "lncRNA (ENSNMEG00000019236.1)". The record is from RNAcentral. Lineage: Eukaryota; Metazoa; Chordata; Aves; Galliformes; Numididae.
GAAAAAUAAUAGGGUUCAUAUUUGCUCCCUACAAGAACAAUUAAACAGAACAGGAAGACUCCUGUUGACUCCAGUUUCUGCUAGAUCAAGACUCUGUAAUUAUGAAAUUGUCUAUCUGCCAUAAUGAAUACUCCAUGCAAUAUUUUAAGUUUUGAGGAAUAAUCAUUUUUCAUCAUUAAAAUUAAGCAGCCGCCUAUUAAAAGAAACUUAUUUUCUCCUUGCUAAGAUUUGAAACAGCUGUGACACUGAACAGAAUUGUUGAAUACAGGUUAAAGUAGAUGAGUAAGAGAACGCAUUUUCUGUCUUAUCUCACUUUGAGGUAGAUGUACAGAUAACUAAUAAUGCUUCAGUUCUCAUAGUGCUGAUUGGUGCCUGCGUGUGCUAGCCAUCCACAGGAAACUUACCAAAAAGCAGCAGAAUGCAGAGACCACUUGCACUUCAUCAACUUGCAACCAUCACUGACCUCCAGCUAGCUUUGUGAAGUAUCCAGCAAUGGUGUAGAAUUUCCCUUACAUGGGUGUAACCAUCUCAGCAUUUUGCUAGCUCAGAGCCCAAGAACCUUAAAGGAAAGCAGCUGCUUAUUUGAAGAUUUGCAUUUCCAUGAGUGAGGAAUUAUGAGCAUGGAAACUAACAGGAAAACAAUGAUACAGCGCCCAACAGAUUCAAAUGGGAGGAAGAAAACUUUGCCAAAAAAUAGGUAAGUAGAUUGCUGUUUAAGGCACCGAUAAGUAACUUCAAUAGAAGUUUUAUUAUUAAUGUGUCCAUGCUCUAAGCAGCAAACAGCAAAAACCAAAUGAAUCUAUUGUGGCUUACAGACUGCUCCCUGAACAGGAAACCACUCAGCUUCAUUGUGUUCAAAAGCUGCUGCUAAAAUAAAUUAUGUUGUAAUUCGAAGAGUGGGGCA